Molecule: long non-coding RNA, 1437 nt
Filed under: Felis catus (domestic cat)
Lineage: Eukaryota; Metazoa; Chordata; Mammalia; Carnivora; Felidae
Description: lncRNA (ENSFCAG00000046940.1)
Source: RNAcentral
AUGGGCAAGAUCGGGGAGCCCCACCAGGUGACUGUGAGAGAGAAGGAGGAAGGAAGGAGGAAGGAAGGAGGAGGAAGGAAGGAAGGAAGGAAGGACGGAAGGAAGGAAGGAAGGAAGGAAGGAAGGAAGAAGAAGGAAGGAAGGGAGGAGGAAGGAAGGACGGAAGGAAGGAAGGAAGGAAGGAAGGAAGGAAGAAGAAGGAAGGAAGGAAGGAAGGAGGAAGGAAGGAAGGAAGGAAGGAGGAAGGAAGGAGGAAGGAAGGAAGGAAGGAAGAAGAAGGAAGGAGGAAGGAAGGAAGGAGAAGGAAGGAAGGACGGAAGAAGGAAGGAAGGAGGAGGAAGGAAGGAGGAAGGAAGGAAGGAAGGAAGGAAGGAAGAAGGAGGAAGGAGGAAGGAAGGAAGGAAGGAAGGAAGGAAGGAAGGAAGGAAGAAGGGAGGAAGGAGGAAGAAGGAAGAGGAAGGAAGGAAGGAAGAAGAAGGAAGGAAGGAAGGAAGGAAGAAGGAAGGAAGGAAGAAGAAGAAGGAAGAAGAAGGAAGGAAGAAGAAGGAAGGAAGGAAGGAAGGAAGGAAGAAGGAAGGAAGAAGGAAGAAGGAAGGAGGAAGGAGGAAGGAAGGAAGGAAGAAGGAAGGAAGGAAGAAGGGAGGAAGGAAGAAGGAAGGGAGAAAGGAAGGAAGGAAGGAAGGAAGGAAGGAAGGAAGGAAGGAAGAAGGAAGGGAGAAAGGAAGGAAGGAAGAAGGAAGGAAGGAAGGAAGGAAGGAAGGAAGGAAGAAGGAAGGAGGAAGGAAGGAAGAAGGAAGGAAGGAAGGAAGGAAGGAAGAAGGAAGGAGAAGGAAGGAAGAAGGAAGGAAGGAAGGAAGGAAGGAGAAGGAAGAAGGAAGGAGGAAGGAAGGAGGAAGGAAGGAAGGAAGAAGGAAGAAGGGAGGAAGGAAGAAGGAAGGAGAAGGAAGGAAGGAGGAGGAAGGAAGAAGGAAGGAAGGAAGGAAGAAGGAAGGAAGAAGAAGAAGGAAGGAAGGAGGAAGGAAGGAAGGAAUGAAGGAAGGAAUGAAGGAAGGAAGGAACGGAAGGAAGGACGGAAGGAAGGAGGAAGGAAGGAAGGAAGGACGGAAGGAAGGAAUGAAGGAAGGAAGGAAGGAAGCGAAGGAAGGAAGGAAGAAGGAAGGGAGAAAGGAAGGAAGGAUAGGAAGGAAGGAAGAAGGAAGGAAGGAAGGAAGGAAGGAAGGAAGGAAGGAAGGAAGAAGGAAGGAAGGAAGGAGGAGGAAGGAAGGAAGGAAGGAAGGCGGAAGGAAGGAAGGAAGGAAGGAAGGAAGGAAGGAAGGAAGAAGGAAGGAAGGAGGAAGGAAGGAAGGAAGGAAGGAAGGAAUGAAGGAAGGAAGGAAGGAAGGAAAUGAGGCAGGAGAAAUACCGAGGGCCCACCCCGAAUCUCCCCGACUUAGCUAG